AGUGAACGCUGGCGGUAGGCCUAACACAUGCAAGUCGAACGGCAGCACAGUAAGAGCUUGCUCUUACGGGUGGCGAGUGGCGGACGGGUGAGGAAUACGUCGGAAUCUACUUUUUCGUGGGGGAUAACGUAGGGAAACUUACGCUAAUACCGCAUACGACCUACGGGUGAAAGCAGGGGAUCUUCGGACCUUGCGCGAUUGAAUGAGCCGAUGUCGGAUUAGCUAGUUGGCGGGGUAAAGGCCCACCAAGGCGACGAUCCGUAGCUGGUCUGAGAGGAUGAUCAGCCACACUGGAACUGAGACACGGUCCAGACUCCUACGGGAGGCAGCAGUGGGGAAUAUUGGACAAUGGGCGCAAGCCUGAUCCAGCCAUACCGCGUGGGUGAAGAAGGCCUUCGGGUUGUAAAGCCCUUUUGUUGGGAAAGAAAAGCAGCAGGUUAAUACCCCGCUGUUCUGACGGUACUCAAAGAAUAAGCACCGGCUAACUUCGUG
RNAcentral lists this ribosomal RNA (492 nucleotides) under uncultured bacterium. RNAcentral describes it as "partial 16S ribosomal RNA". It matches the Rfam family "Bacterial small subunit ribosomal RNA", at positions 29 to 507 of the family's 1533-position model. The record is from RNAcentral.